AAUACUUGUCGCUUUGAGUUUUUGUUUGUAAUGUUUGAUCAUUCGUCUUAUUCAAAAAAAUUAUGAAACUAUUAUUUAUUUUGUUUGUAACUCGCUUUAUUAAAAAAUAUUUUAAGUAUGACUUAUCAUUUUUUGUAUUUGCACUAAUUUUUCAAAUAAGACAAAUGGUCAAACAUUGUAAGUAAAAAGUCAAAGCGACCACUAAU
Molecule: microRNA precursor, 206 nt
Organism: Oryza sativa Japonica Group (Japanese rice)
Lineage: Eukaryota; Viridiplantae; Streptophyta; Magnoliopsida; Poales; Poaceae
Rfam family: MIR812 microRNA precursor family
Source: Rfam